RNAcentral lists this ribosomal RNA (253 nucleotides) under uncultured bacterium. RNAcentral's name for it is "partial 16S ribosomal RNA". It matches the Rfam family "Bacterial small subunit ribosomal RNA", at positions 524 to 776 of the family's 1533-position model. The record is from RNAcentral.
UACGGAGGGAGCUAGCGUUGUUCGGAAUUACUGGGCGUAAAGCGUACGUAGGCGGUUAUUCAAGUCAGAGGUGAAAGCCCGGGGCUCAACCCCGGAACGGCCUUUGAAACUAGGUAGCUAGAGUCUUGGAGAGGUUAGUGGAAUUCCGAGUGUAGAGGUGAAAUUCGUAGAUAUUCGGAAGAACACCAGUGGCGAAGGCGACUAACUGGACAAGUACUGACGCUGAGGUGCGAAAGCGUGGGGAGCAAACAGG